AACGAACGCUGGCGGCAUGCCUAACACAUGCAAGUCGAACGAUACCUCCGGUUCUAGUUGCGCAGGUGUGCGUGAGGGGUGGAAAGGUGCGCUUCGGGUCGGAAUCACUCCCCGUACUGCUUGCUAAUCCCGGGUAAUGUCUGCGGACCAAGGAUUUAUCGCGUUUGGCUGUGCAUGCGUUGGAUUAGCUAGUUGGUAGGGUAAGAGCCUACCAAGGCGACGAUCCAUAGCUGGUCUGAGAGGAUGAACAGCCACACUGGGACUGAGACACGGCCCAGACUCCUACGGGAAGCAGCAGUGGGGAAUAUUGGAGAAUGGGCGAAAGACUGAUCCAGCAAUGCGGCGUGAGUGAUGAAGGCCUUAGGGUUGUAAAGCUCUUUUAUCCGGGAUGAUAAUGACAGUACCGGGAGAAGAAGCGCCGGCUAACUCCGUG
RNAcentral lists this ribosomal RNA (433 nucleotides) under uncultured bacterium. Its description in RNAcentral is "partial 16S ribosomal RNA". It matches the Rfam family "Bacterial small subunit ribosomal RNA", at positions 29 to 507 of the family's 1533-position model. The record is from RNAcentral.